GGAGAGGUGGCAGAGCGGUUGAAUGCGUCGGUCUCGAAAACCGGUAUAGGGGAAACUCUAUCGAGGGUUCGAAUCCCUCCCUCUCCG
RNAcentral lists this transfer RNA (87 nucleotides) under Ignavibacteria bacterium. Its description in RNAcentral is "tRNA-Ser". It matches the Rfam family "tRNA". Rfam says of the family: Transfer RNA (tRNA) molecules are approximately 80 nucleotides in length. Their secondary structure includes four short double-helical elements and three loops (D, anti-codon, and T loops). The record is from RNAcentral. Lineage: Bacteria; Pseudomonadati; Ignavibacteriota; Ignavibacteria.